GAGAGAGUCUUGCCAGAAACAAAGACUGCUAAUCCUUGUCCCCUCGGUUGGAUCCCGAAGCUCCCUCG
This 68-nucleotide transfer RNA is filed under the name Microdous chalmersi. RNAcentral describes it as "Sineleotris chalmersi tRNA-Ser". Lineage: Eukaryota; Metazoa; Chordata; Actinopteri; Gobiiformes; Odontobutidae. The record is from RNAcentral.